This 459-nucleotide ribosomal RNA is filed under the name uncultured bacterium. RNAcentral describes it as "partial 16S ribosomal RNA". It matches the Rfam family "Bacterial small subunit ribosomal RNA", at positions 338 to 795 of the family's 1533-position model. The record is from RNAcentral.
CCUACGGGAGGCAGCAGUGAGGAAUAUUGGUCAAUGGCCGGAAGGCUGAACCAGCCAAGCCGCGUGAGGGAGGAAGGCGCAGAGCGUCGCAGACCUCUUUUGCCGGGGGACAAACCGCCGGACGGGUCCGGUUCUGAGUGUACCCGGAGAAAAAGCAUCGGCUAACUCCGUGCCAGCAGCCGCGGUAAUACGGGGGAUGCGAGCGUUAUCCGGAUUUAUUGGGUUUAAAGGGUGCGUAGGCGGUCCGUUAAGUCAGCGGUAAAAUUGCGGGGCUCAACCCCGUCGAGCCGUUGAAACUGGCAGACUUGAGUUGGCGAGAAGUACGCGGAAUGCGCGGUGUAGCGGUGAAAUGCAUAGAUAUCGCGCAGAACUCCGAUUGCGAAGGCAGCGUACCGGCGCCAGACUGACGCUGAGGCACGAAAGCGUGGGGAUCGAACAGGAUUAGAUACCCUUGUAGUC